RNAcentral lists this small RNA (125 nucleotides) under Marmota monax (woodchuck). The record is from RNAcentral. Lineage: Eukaryota; Metazoa; Chordata; Mammalia; Rodentia; Sciuridae.
GCUGGGUAUGAUGGCGCAUGCCUGUAAUCCUAGCAGCUUGGGAGGCUGAGGCAGGAGGAUUGUGAGUUCAAAGCCACCCUCAGCAAUGGUGAGGCUCUAAGCAACUCAGUGAGACCCUGGCUCUC